This 250-nucleotide ribosomal RNA is filed under the name uncultured bacterium. RNAcentral describes it as "partial 16S ribosomal RNA". It matches the Rfam family "Bacterial small subunit ribosomal RNA", at positions 525 to 774 of the family's 1533-position model. The record is from RNAcentral.
ACGUAGGCAGCAAGCGUUGUUCGGAGUUACUGGGCGUAAAGGGUGUGUAGGCGGCUUUUCAAGUUUGGUGUGAAAUCUCCCGGCUCAACUGGGAGGGUGCGCCGAAUACUGAGAGGCUCGAGUGCGGGAGAGGAGAGUGGAAUUCCUGGUGUAGCGGUGAAAUGCGUAGAUAUCAGGAGGAACACCGGCGGUGUAGACGGCUCUCUGGACCGUAACUGACGCUGAGACACGAAAGCGUGGGUAGCAAACA